This 1005-nucleotide long non-coding RNA is filed under the name Capra hircus (goat). RNAcentral describes it as "lncRNA (ENSCHIG00010005085.1)". Lineage: Eukaryota; Metazoa; Chordata; Mammalia; Artiodactyla; Bovidae. The record is from RNAcentral.
UUUGUGUCUAUGUAUCUGCCCUCGGGUCACCAGAAUCCGGCACAGGGAAAGUGCUGGGUGAAAUGACAAAACAGAGAGCCAGGUGGAGCCCCCUCCAGCCUGCCUUUGGUUUUGGUUUUACUUCACUAGGCACUGCCUGGAAGGGAGGAGAAACUCAGGAGACGGUGUGUUUUUGGACACGAUUGCUCCUUUCCUGUGACCUGUUUGCACUGGAAGCCCAGAGUUGGGGGUUUAGAUUUGCCGUGGAGGUGACACACGAAUCCGCCCUCUCAGGCCCUCUGGUCGAGCUCUGUCAGUGACUGUGGUCGAGGACAUCCCUGCACUUUUGACUGUCCCUACAAUCUGAGACGUGGACACUCAGAUCGAGUUGUGGCCUCUCCUUGGGACCAGUUAGGCUCCGAGUCAUCUCAGCCCACAUUCUGAGCAGCCUGAUGGCCCUGGCAAGCCUCAGGAUGGGGUCUCACAGGGGCCAGUCCUAAUUUACAGGCACCAAAGAGCUCCUCUCACUUCAAAUAAAGGACCCCAAUUUUCUCCAGAGAGAUGAGCAGUCUGGUUAAAAAAAAAUUUUUUUUUUUUUGCUGGUAAAGAAUAGCACAGCCUAGAACAAAGUUUUAUUUAGGUUAACUCUUAAAAAACAAAACAAAACACCAAAAAGCAAAACACAUUAAAAACUUUAUUGUUAAGUACCACGCAUGUCUAAAUUUGCAUCAGUUUGAAACACUUCUGCUGGCUUUGCAGAACACAAUAGUUGCAAGUUUCUUUAAAUCUUAACAGUCACCUGCUUUAGGUCUUUCCAGGCUCGUCUGUUCCGGCCUCCCCCUCCUACCCGUGGUGGGGUCAGUCUACUCUGCCCCACGCUGACAUCGGGUCACCCCUGGGCCAGUGGGAAUCUGCUUCUAGAGGGGUUGGCCCUGCAGCUAGGGCGGCCUGUACUCCUCGAGGAAGCCCUCUCUUCUUCUUGUUUUCUCUUUGUCCCAUUUUUACUCCCAGCCCAAGUGGCUAACU